UUUCUUCUGACAGCAAACAGGAAGUCCUGAGCCCUCGAGCGCCGCUUAGAGGGGAGGCGGCGGGAUUGCACGCAUGAGCUUUUCUCGCCAGCAGGGGGCAGACUCACUCUAAAAAUCCUUUUGUUUGCCAUAUGUUCAAUCCGCCACGCGUGCUACUUGGGUCUUCAAAUCAUGAGCUCUCCACAUUUUGAACAGGAAUGAGGGAUUCCUGGGAGGCGAGGAGAACCCCUACCUAGCCGCCUCUCAGUGGACUCACGUGAGGUGUAAUCAAAGCUUUCCGGCUCCGCCAAACUCAAUCUCGUCGGAUUUAUGUGGUUCAAGCAUCUGCGAGUGCGACAAGGUUUGUCUGCCUGUGCCCAUCAACUAAAAAGCGAGUAAUCACAAAUAUGUAAGUUCUUAAGAGUGUUUGUUGCAAUGGCCAUUACGUGUCGUCCCCCAAUGUGUUACGAUUACGUCAUGAAAAUUAGUACGACAAUCGUCAAGUAAGCCGGAAGUGGUGCUCGUUGUCUUUCAGAAUAAAAGCAUAAUACAGGAAGUGCUAAACUGACCGGAUAAAUUGACAUUUUUUUUUAUUUCGCUUUGUUAGCUGUGUUUGUUGGUUUUAGUUUGUUAGUUUUAUAAACAUAAAAAGUCGAUUCAGCUAGUUUUUAUUUGUAUUUCAGUACCACUGUGCCCAAUUUGAGUCCAGCAUUCAAAUUGCAUCAGUGCUGACUAUUAAACAGAGCAUUCGACAGAAAACCAGUGUUUGCAAAAGUGUCAUGAAAAGAAAAUGGCUGAAAGGGAGCAGAAAGAGUCGCUGGAGGAGCACUUUGAUUGUUGACACCCGGCAAUCCAAACAGCGUCCCUGCGACGGGGGAGACGUUGUCGUCGUUUUCUCGAGACCAUCAGCGUUUUCCAGACGACGCUCGUUAUAGAGCCGACAUCAAAACGAACGAGAGGAGCGCUGCUGCUAUGUGCUGACAUUCAAACACACAUGUUUUAUUUAACAUGCGAAACUGACAAAUCUCCAGGCACUCGAAGAGACAAAGACUACCACCAGGUGUCACAUGUCUACGAAGUGCAUCCGACAAAAUACUCUUAGGAUAAAAACAAACAAACAUUUUUUCUUGUCUAGCUGAAAUGAGCCUGUCUAAAGUGCAUAUGAGCUCCUCUUCACAAAGAAAAGAAGCAAACAUGGUGUCGCAGCAUUUAGCUGUUACGCUGCACACAAGUAGGAUGUACGAUGGAUGGCGGUCUUCGAGUGGCCAUCCACGGCAGCCGACUUUACACCAUCAGCAAGUUGAGUUGUGAAUGCAAUUUGCGCGUACAGAUCUUCUACAUGCGAUCCUUACGAUUGACGGCUGUGUUCGCUCCCACAACGGCGCAAACACCCUCUUCUAUCUGCUCUUGAUUCAAUGACCUUCACAAUCCAAAGUCUGGCUCACGCAAACACUUGGAUCAAAUAAAUUUUAUAAUUUUGAGCGCGCGAGCUUCAGGCCUACAUCGUAGUCCGAGGCACAUCCGUAAAAAAAAAAAAAAAAGCUUACGUUUUCUAUCAAAUUAAAAGCGAAGGCAGCCUUUGAUCUUUUAAUCCGCCCGCUCAUAAGGUUGCGAGAUAAGCAGCCGUGACUAACGUCUCUCUUUCUAAUAGUCUUGAAAGAGCCGAGCCCACAUAAUGAGCCCUUUUAGCCCCUUUUGAAGACAUAUUGGACUCAAAGUCCGUAUUUAGCGGAUCUGGCAUUCAAUGGACGCCUUUGGAUAGUCCACCGGGAGCGUUGGUGUCGCUAUAAAGCUCCAGGUGGGGGGGAUCCUGGAGCUCCUUUCUGUCUUUAUUUAUUGAAUGUUGCAAUGACACACCCUUUCAAUCAUUCAAAUGAAGAGCUCCAAGAAACUAGAGCAAGAUAGCAAAUUGGAGACUGCAGAGUUUAAAACUGCAACAUGGAGAGUAAAUAGCGUGUUAGCAUGUGUUUACAGCCAUGCAUACUGAAUACUAGCUUCUUCUGAUUUUCUUUGACCACGAUGGGCCAAUUUCUACGGGAUCUGGACAUGAAAGAGGUGGCUUCUGAUGUCUUGAAAACGCCACAGCACUGAGCAAAGCCUCCUGACGCCGCCUCGGUGGGUGACGGGGCCGCCUGCUGUUAACUUGUAACGUAACUGAUGCUUUUUCCUUGUUAAAGAUGCUCCCUGCUUGGUGAGCUGGCUAAUAUGUCUUCUCCCACUGUGUGGAAUAUUUAAAAGGAUUUCAAAAGGAGGAAAGUGAAGAUAGAAACUGUUUGGAUCGGGAAAAUA
Long non-coding RNA from Syngnathus typhle (broad-nosed pipefish), 2268 nucleotides. RefSeq lists it as uncharacterized. The transcript is spliced from 3 exons. NCBI's taxonomy places the organism in Eukaryota, Metazoa, Chordata, Actinopteri, Syngnathiformes, Syngnathidae. The record is from RefSeq and is a predicted model, not a curated record.